GGUUGUCUAAAAUGGAUGUCGAUUCGGAGACAACGGAAGUCUUAAGACUUCCGUACUAAUAUCAAAUUGUCCAAUUUUGAUAGUAUCAAACCUUGCCAAACUACGUCCAAAGUAUUCUCGACGAGACUCCUCCGAUAUCUAAGUAUGGGUAUAAAAGAUUCAGACUUAAAUAUUUAUAUCGUAUUGAGGGAGAUAAAAAGAUCUACAAGAAUGUAUAUGUGCAACCCUUUUAUAAUGAGCUCCUAUUAUCAGUACCUCAAUGCGAUCGACGUCAAUUAUGGGAAAUGGGGAAUGUGUCAUGCCGCUCACGAACUUAACUGCAAUCCUCGUCGAAUAUG
Molecule: long non-coding RNA, 338 nt
Filed under: Musa acuminata (dwarf banana)
Lineage: Eukaryota; Viridiplantae; Streptophyta; Magnoliopsida; Zingiberales; Musaceae
Description: long non-coding RNA (MACU_LNC001339)
Source: RNAcentral